RNAcentral lists this ribosomal RNA (460 nucleotides) under uncultured bacterium. RNAcentral describes it as "partial 16S ribosomal RNA". It matches the Rfam family "Bacterial small subunit ribosomal RNA", at positions 338 to 795 of the family's 1533-position model. The record is from RNAcentral.
CCUACGGGCGGCAGCAGUGAGGAAUAUUGGUCAAUGGACGCAAGUCUGAACCAGCCAUGCCGCGUGCAGGAAGACGGCUCUCUGAGUUGUAAACUGCUUUUGUACGAGGGUAAACGCAGAUACGCGUAUCUAUCUGACAGUAUCGUACGAAUAAGGAUCGGCUAACUCCGUGCCAGCAGCCGCGGUAAUACGGAGGAUUCAAGCGUUAUCCGGAUUUAUUGGGUUUAAAGGGUGCGUAGGCGGUCGGAUAAGUUAGAGGUGAAAUCCCGAGGCUCAACUUCGGAAUUGCCGCUGCUACUGUUUGGCUAGAGAGUAGGUGCGGUAGGCGGAAUGUAUGGUGUAGCGGUGAAAUGCUUAGAGAUCAUACAGAACACCGAUUGCGAAGGCAGCUUACCAAGCUACUUCUGACGUUGAGGCACGAAAGCGUGGGGAGCAAACAGGAUUAGAUACCCUAGUAGUC